GAUGAACGCUGGCGGCGUGCUUAACACAUUCAAGUCGAACGGGCGACGGGGAGCUUGCUCCCCUGAGCUAGUGGCGGACGGGUGAGUAACGCGUGAGUAACCUGCCUUUCUCUGGGGAAUAACAUCGCGAAAGUGGUGCUAAUACCGCAUAACGUAUUCCGAUCGCAUGUUUGGAAUACCAAAGGAUUUAUUUGGAGAAAGAUGGGCUCGCGUCUGAUUAGGUAGUUGGUGGGGUAACGGCCUACCAAGCCGACGAUCAGUAGCCGGACUGAGAGGUUGAACGGCCACAUUGGAACUGAGAUACGGUCCAGACUCCUACGGGAGGCAGCAGUGGGGAAUAUUGGGCAAUGGACGCAAGUCUGACCCAGCAACGCCGCGUGAAGGAAGAAGGCUUUCGGGUUGUAAACUUCUUUAUCAGGGAAGAGUAGAAGACGGUACCUGAUGAAUAAGCCACGGCUAACUACGUG
RNAcentral lists this ribosomal RNA (467 nucleotides) under uncultured bacterium. RNAcentral's name for it is "bacterial SSU rRNA". It matches the Rfam family "Bacterial small subunit ribosomal RNA", at positions 28 to 507 of the family's 1533-position model. The record is from RNAcentral.